This is a long non-coding RNA of Brassica rapa (field mustard), 3661 nucleotides long. RefSeq lists it as uncharacterized. The record is from RefSeq and is a predicted model, not a curated record. Lineage: Eukaryota; Viridiplantae; Streptophyta; Magnoliopsida; Brassicales; Brassicaceae.
UUUCCCUCAAUCGACUGAUUCUCUGUACGACGCACCCUUCUACAUCCGCCUCUUUGCAAAGGAUUUCUCAUUUGUUUCCUUUUGGAUUUAAAGCGUCUCAGCAAUUACACCCUUUUGGAGUCGAAUCUUUUAAUCAAUCUAUAUAUGAAAGUUUCAGAUUAUGUAUCCCUUUAUAUAUUCCAUCAUAGUCAUCCAGUUUUUAUAUGUAUGAAUUCCCCUCAUACCUUUCAUCAUCAUCUUCGUCUCUGCAAUUUAUUUCUCUCCAAUUUCCCCCUCUUAUUUCAUUUAUUGUAGGAAAAUAAAUCAAUUCAGUGGUUGUUUGAUUUCAACAGACAAAUCUCCUUUUUUUUAAUGAUUGGGAGUGCGUGGGAGGAGAUGGAGUGAAUCACGUCUGUUUUGGCCGACGAACAAUAUUUAUUCUCACGUUACUUAUUAUGCAUUUCGACUCUAGAACUGUUAUUUUUCCCAAGUAGUUUUGUUUCUGCAAUGAUUACGUCUUUCUACUCCAAUUGCUUUUUUCUAUAAUAGCUUCUUUACUAUUCUUUAUCUGGUAUUUGAUGUUUUUUUGUCCAUGAUGGUUUUUUCAAUGUAAAUCAUUUUCCUCUGUUCCAUUUUCUAUGCACCAAUUUUCAGGAUUUCAGAAAAGUUGAUCCAGGUUGUAGGAGAGCACUCAUAUGUCUUUGCGUGCAUUGAAGUGGGGAAGGUUGGACUUGAAGAUGAGGAGAGACACCAACGGUAAGUUUCUCUGAAAAAUGGAUCUUUGUGUUGUUUCAAAUCAGUGAAUUAUAGAUACUGAUAAAAAUUCUUCGUAAUGUAACGUACGCUCUGUUUCAAUGUAGUUUAAGAUUGUUCUUUAUCCCUCAAAUAGAUACGGCCAGUAAUUGAUUUCCCCAUUAGUUACUCUGAAACUGCAAACCAAAGACAGCAGAAAUUGAAUGAAUAUCAUAAGCGACAGUGUUUUAUUAAAAUUCUUUAGUGUAUUGUUUAGUUGGAGACAAACCUUUUCCAUCUAGUAACAUUGUUUUGUUUAGGAUUUUUAGCUAUCCAAACACGUAAAACUCGUCCUACUAUUUUUUUGUUGACAACGUUUCAUUUUAAUAUUUUCUAAAAAUUUGUAAGCAAAUAACUGCAUAGAAAUUUUUUUUUUUCACCAUUUUAUGAUUAGUGAAAUUAGUGCAAAUUUUACUUUGACAAAUGCAUGGACAUCGACUAUUUAUAGAUUUUGAAAAUCUAUUUGAAUAGUUACAACUUUUCAGUUUAAAUAGUCACAUCCUUUUGAUUUAAAAGUAAUUAUUUUGAAAAAAAAUACUUAUAUGAAUAGUCACAACUUUUCACUUUUUAAAAUAUACUUAUAUGAAUUUUUAGAAAAGACACAACUUUCCAACAUUGAAUUUUUUGAAAAGACACAACCUUUUACACAUCUUUUUCAAAAGACACAACAUUUCAACAUAAGUAAAUUCACAACUUUUGGAAUUAAUCAGGAUUGCUAUUAUUAGUAGAUGAACAACUGUAAUCGUUCUAACUUUUGACGUGAUAGCUCGAAUGCAUGAAUUAAACUUAAAAAUACUCAUGUAACAUAAAAUUAUAUAUAUAUAGGGACUUAUCUGUCUUUCUAAAAACUUUAAAAUUUAUGAUGUAAAUUUUUGGGCAAUUCUCCAUAAUAGCAUUUUUGAGUUUUUGUCUCAAAAAUUUAUAAUGUAAAUAUAUAUAUAGGGACUCCAUACUACCCAAAUACGCCAUAACGCAGCAAAAUCAUAGUUGCAAAUUGAUUUCCAGCCAGGGAAGGAAGUGUGCAAAAUUUUACGGGAUCGGCGUUCCUUCACUCGAGUUUCAAUUAUGCUACCAAAAGAAUUUUACAAAGCUUAAACCAUUUCCUAAAAUUUCUCCGCCGAACUGAACUGUAAAAUUCCAUGACGUUCCAGCUGAAGGUGUCUAUCAGAGAUUUUGGGUUUUGGAGCUUUUGCUCCUGUAAGCUCUAGAGCUGCUUUUCUGGCAUGUUUUCUUUGAUGCUUCUUAAGACCACCAUUAUCCAUGGUUGUUUAAGGGGUGUUUAGCAAUUUUUUAAUUAAAAAAAAAAGAAAGAGAAGAAGAAGAAGAAGAAGAAGAGGCAGCGCUUCUGAUGCUUCUUUAAGCGUCGUUGUUUUGUUCUGUUUGCGGGCUCCACCGAUACGUGGCAGCCCGCGAUUGAUUUUUUUUUUAAUUUUUUUUAUUCAGAAAAGAAAAAAAAAUUAAACACUCUUAAGACCAUCUCAAAGGCAACUCUAUUUUUUCCUCUAUAAUUUACACAAAAAUAGAGUAACUCUAUUAUAGUGUAAUUUUUGCUCCAAUGGUGUUACUCUAUAAUGGAGUUACUCUAUUAUUGAGUGAAAUAUAGAGGAAUGUCACUUUUUCACUCCAAAUAUAGAGUAAAAUAUGACAUUCCUCUAUAUUCCACUAUAUAAGAGUUAGUCUAUUAUAGAGUAACACCAUUGGAGCAAAAGUUACACUAUGAUAGAGUUAGUCUAUUUUUGUGUAAAUUAUAAAGAAAAAAAUAGAGUUCCAUUGGAGAUGCCCUAAUGAGUUGCUAGGGUUUCUUCGAAGUUGCUUCCUCAAAGACAUAAUCAUCUUCCGAAGUAGAGCCGUCAGCUGUAUAUAUUUCUUCUUCUUCUGAGUUUGACUCUUGUAAAGACUCCGAUUCUGAAGGUUGCACCUCAUUUUUUUCUACUCUCUUUCACAAUGUUUCUAGUUUAGACCUUGUCGAGUGUGUUUCUCUUUUUAUUCGCUCGUCUACUUGUGUGUGUUUUAUUUUAUCUAUUUCUUUCUUUUACUUGUUAAAACAUUUCUGUUCCAAACGUUACAAAAAGAAAGUUUCGUUUCAGAACAUUGUAUUGUUACUUGGAUAAUAGUAAACCAGCUAAAAGAGAGUGCAAACGAUAGUUUUAAUGACUCUUCGUUUCUUUCGACGAAACAUUUAAGAAGCCAUUCGAUAGGAGAAUAUGUCCAAUAGAAAUUUUAUACUACAAAUAUAGGGCUGAAAGCUUCACACUUAAUAUUUGAUAUUCACUUAGUAUUAUUCACUUGAGCAAGUUCGUAUAUUCACCUAGCUUAGUGUCUCUAUGAAUUGGUAUUCUCGUGGCUCAUACGAUUCCCAUCUAUUUUCCGCGGCUGAUAAGUUAUCAGAAAGUUGUAUAAUCUCUUUUCAUUGUAUUAUUAGUUGUUGUUUGAGAAUUCGUUUUAAAGAAAAAUCGUAGCUAGGGUUUUGUUGUUGGUUCGUGGUUCCUUCUGAAUUAUUUAAGAAUAUUAUUACUUAGUUAGAGAGAGAGAGAGAGAGAGAGAGAGAGAGAGAGAGAAGAAGUAAAGUCACGCUUGAGUGUUACGAAAACGAACAAAAGUCAGGAAGUAAAUAGAUAACUAAACAAGAGACGUCUCUCUUAGGUUUUACUAAUCACUACUCGUAGCAUAGUAAAGCUCUACUACUCCAAUCUGCAAAGGGAAACCAAAUCAAUCAACUCAUCCAAGAAUGUAAAGUAAAAGACACUUGGAAGAUAUUGUGCUACCUUUGUUUCUUGGUAUCUUUCUCAAAAUCUGUCUUGGCAGCCCAUAGUAUUCCACUGUCAAAAAAAAAAAAACAAUAAAUUUCAAGAAUCAACCAGUGUCAAAAGAAGAAUACACAAUGGACAAA